RNAcentral lists this ribosomal RNA (253 nucleotides) under uncultured bacterium. RNAcentral's name for it is "partial 16S ribosomal RNA". It matches the Rfam family "Bacterial small subunit ribosomal RNA", at positions 524 to 776 of the family's 1533-position model. The record is from RNAcentral.
UACGUAGGGAGCAAGCGUUGUCCGGAAUCAUUGGGCGUAAAGCGCGCGUAGGUGGCCUCAUAAGUCCGCUGUGAAAGUCAAAGGCUCAACCUUUGAAAGCCGGUGGAUACUGUGGGGCUAGAGUACGGAAGAGGCGAGUGGAAUUCCUGGUGUAGCGGUGGAAUGCGCAGAUAUCGGGAGGAACACCGGUGGCGAAGGCGGCGACCUGGGUCGAUACUGACGCUGAGGUGCGAAAGCGUGGGGAGCAAACAGG